Molecule: long non-coding RNA, 4630 nt
Filed under: Homo sapiens (human)
Lineage: Eukaryota; Metazoa; Chordata; Mammalia; Primates; Hominidae
Description: HSALNT0305951
Source: RNAcentral
GGGACUCAGCAUACUGACUUCAGGUUAGCUGUUCUAUCCUAUGAAGAAACCGACCCUCUCCUGGGCCACUGAUGGUCCACUGUGAUUGCAUCUUUCCUGGUCUCAUCCUUGGCAUAGUCUCAUUGGAGACUGAUCGAGACAAACAAUCCUCAAGGACCUGCUUUUUUCUUUUUGUUGGAACAGAUUUUAACCUGACUCCUAAUGUCAGAAAGGGCACCAAUACACUCAGUGGAGAGCUGCUGCUCACUUUCCCUGUGCAAGAUACAGAAAUCUGGAAUUCAAAGAGGUACACGAUUACACCCUUUACCUUAAAGAGCUUAUAAUCAAUUGUAAAUGGACAGAGGAAAUGUAUUCAUGAGAAAAUCCCAGCAGAAGGCACGUUUUUCUACUAUUUGCUACUUACUGCAGAUAAAGAGGGUGCCUAAUUCACUGUGGGCUGGGAUGAUGCGGAAUUCCCUCCCUGGGGCAGAGGUAAGUGUGGCAGGGGUUGUUGUGGGGUGUGUGUGUCUGUGUGUGUGUGUGUGUGCAUGCUUGUGUGAAGAAGCCCAAAGCAUUAAGGAAAGAAAACAAGGCAACAAAGGGUAGCUGGAGGACUGAGUAUGUACAGCCUGACAUGAGACAUAGAGUUAGAAUUGAGUCUGUAGGUUAAAGUGAACCCCACAAUCUCAUCUGGCACUUCAGAGCACAAGGCCUUUACUAUUUCCAUCUUGCUUUUUCCUAAGUGGAUGUAAUUUCUAUACAGGUUCCCCAAACCAGGAACUCUACGACAUUUGGGACAAAAGCCUUUGUUAUCUCCCCAUUGUUCAUUUCCAAGAUGUUCUAUCAAUGUUAAAUAAAAAGCUUCUAACAUAUGUGCAUUUGGGUCAGUAUUCUUCUAAAGGUGAAGAAUAAAGGGACUCAGCCCUAGAAGAAUAUCCUCUAAUUACUUUCUCACUAUUUUGAUCUUUGGCUUUGAAGUAAAUGGCUUCCCUUUUGGUCAUUUAUUGAUUUCCUCUUUGAAAGUUUUUUGUUCCCAUAUAUCAUCAUUUUGCACACAUCUUGCCAGACUCCUGUACUCGAUUGCUAUUAUAAUUUUUUCCUUCUUCUCAUACAUUGUUCAAGCCAUUUUCUGAGUUAAAACAGAUAAAUAAGAAACUAUUUAUUUAUUUAUUUCUUCCAGAUGUCUUUGCUGGACCUGAAACUGCCAUUUCCUAAACUUAUCGUAUUUGUAUAGUCAAAAAUUAUUUUUAACUUUGCUUGGCUUGCAUUUAAAUUUUCUUUCUUUCUUUUUUUUUCCCUGGGAAGUGUCCUAGUCUGCUUUUCUUAAAUGCCUUUUCCAUAAUUUAAUGAAAAGGGACAAAAGUAAAAACGAGGGAAGACAUUGAAAAAUGGCCAAUGGGGAGCAUAAGAAAAAUGCCCUUUACAUGUGGUGACUUUGAAAGAUUAACUUUUCAAGUGUGACCAUACGUAUGAAACUAUUACUGUUUUUGCUGCUUUAAAAGCAUAGGGUAAGAGUUCUCUUUGAAAUGAUUAUUAAAACUAUUAAAUAAUUAUGUAUACCCUUGUUAUUAUGUCAGUUUAAAGGUUUAUUACACUGGGUAAGUCCGAGGAACAUAUUGGCUGGUAAGCUGGUUGUUUUCUGGUUUCAGGUGCAAUUGAAAUUCAGCUACAUGUUAUUCAGAAACCCUAGAGAACAACUAAAUGAUGCUAUUUACCAUUACAUAGGGCUUCUCUUAGCAACCAAUUUUGUUUAUGCUUCUAAAGAUAAUGUUAGUAGGAGCCUCAAUGUCUGGUUAUAAUGUAUUCAAAGCCAGAGUACUUGAGAAGUCUGUGAGUAAGAAUGAUCCAGUUGUCUUUGUGUUAGUAGCUUUUAUCCAGGGAUGAUAAGGAAGGGAAAGGAAUUAACAUGAACUAGGGACCACUAAUAAGCCAGGCAUUUUUACAUUUUAUGAUCUCUAUACUCCCUACAAAGCCACAUUUUACCUUCCUUUCUUUGAGUUGAAGACUCUGAGGCUCAGAGAGGUCAAGUCACUUGCUCAAGGUCACGCAGCUAGUAAACGGCUGAGCAGAGGCAGACUUUAGAUGUGUCUGACUGUAAGGAUUGCCAUUCUUCCACUGGAAACCAUUGCCUCCACCUGAAUGGAAGGGUAUCUUUUUUGGUAGGAAGGAGAUAUAUUAUAGAAUGGGGGUAUGGGUUGGGCAGCUGGUCAACCUGAGAACAAGACUUGAGAGAUAUUUAGGCCCAGAAUCUCUCACUUCUUUCUUCCUCCUCCCCUGCAUGGUGACCUCUAGGCCUGUCGUUUUUAUUUUCCCAAGCCCUGGUCUCUGGGAAGGAUUAACAACACUAUCAGUGAAUAGCCAAGUAAAGUUCUGUGGACAAAAAAAUGCCAAUCAAAAAUAAUUGUGAUCUUAUCAUUUCAAGAUGACAAACGCUUUUUUGUUUUUGAAGGUAUUCAGCCUUGACAAAAAAGUCAAUCUGCACAACAUGCAUUAGCAAAACAUCUUCCUGGGCAAAACAAAACAAAAAAACAAAUAUUAGAACAUCUCUAUGAAACGAGGCAUCUGUAUAGUCCUAUAUAGAGGAUGAGAGGACACCCAUAACUGCUGGAGAAAGUAGCAGAAGACCAGGCAGGGCAAUAAAGUGAAGCCAGACAGACCCAGAACUCUGUGUACAAUCGUUCAAUCCAUACAGCCCAGGACAGUGUGUGGUCGUGAGUGGCUGGAUAAGCAGUGUUUAGGAGCUAGACUGCCUGGGUUUGACACAAGCUCUCCCACUUACGUCAUUGUGAGUGAAGAUAAACAAUUGUGCCUCAGUUCUUCCGUCUGUAAAAUGGCAGUAAUAAAGGUACCUAUCUCCAUAGAGCUAUUCUAGCCAAGGCACUUGGGACAGGGCUUGUUACAUAGAAAGCACUGUGCACAAAUUGGCUUUCAAGCAUGCUAUUGAACUGCUUUCUCAACUAAUCAGUAUCCAGUCUUUGGAGGAUACAAGCACUCAUUAUGAUCCUAUUUGUGACAAUAAUUAGGAAGAACUGCUCAUUGAAAAUGGAUUUCAAAAUUGCAUAGCAAUUAUUUCAUUUAUCUUUCAUUAUUUUGAUGAAUUCUUCAGUGGACAAGAUAAAGUGAAAGUUGUAACUAUAUUUGUUUUCAGCACCUACCACCGUAUAUGGUGUACCAUCUGUGGAUUUAUAAAAUAUUAGUGAAUUAUUGAAUGAGCCCUAAUAUUCUGACAACUGUUUAAAUAUCGAUGUUUUAAAGUACUGUCAUUGAAUACAAAUACAAUUUAGAGUCUUUCUCUGCUUUCUCUCUCCCCCUCUCUCUUUUCUGGCCAUAAAUCAUUGUCUAUUCACUGGGUAAACAACAUCUGAAUUCCCUGGAGCUCAGCAGCCCACUGAUUUCACUAAAAAGUUGUCUCAUCCAACUCUGAAUAUGGAGUCUGGUUUCUGAAUGGCUGGUAAGAUUUAUUUUCCCUGGUGGUUGGAGCUGGUAUAUUUUACCAAGGCAAAUCCCCAUGUGACAAAGGAAUAAAUACACAGGGAAGAAUCAUUUGCAUAAAAGUUGGCAAGAAGGUUUAAGGAAAAAUAAGGGUUGGCAGGGAGGUUUAAGGAAAACAUAGAUAGAGCAGAGUUUAAAUCUUGGCCUUGUCAAUUUCUGGCUGUGACAAUGUGAGCAAAAGUUUUGACUCAUCUGAGCCUCAGUUUAUACAUUGGUAAAAUGAGGAUAAAUAAAAUUGACUGCAUAGCAUUUUGUGAGGAUUAAAAAAGGCAAUACAAGUAGUGUCUAAAAUAAUACCUGCCACAUGGCAGGUGUUAGUCAAAUGCUUUUUACCUUGUCUCCUCCUUUUCUUCCCUUUUUUCCUCCCUUCCUUCUUUCCCUCUCUUCCUUCCUCAUAUGUGAUCUUCUAUUUGCCCAGGGCUUCUUGUGUGAUUCUAAAUUAUAGCAUCUAGGGCUUGUAUCAGGAAAGCAUACCUUAGGUCCCAGAAUUUUGAACAUCAACCUAAAAUUUUCCCAUCAGCCUUCAGCCUCUCUUCCUAGCCAUGGGAAGCUCCUCAGUAGAGAUGAAGUCAUUAGCUCAAUUCUUUAGGGCUCAUCUUUCUCUGAAACUUAGUGAUCAAUUUACUUUACCCCUGAGACUACCCUUGUCAUCUUUGGGCAAAAUCACCAGCAAGCAGAAAAGUUUGGCCUCUUCCGUAGAUGCUCAAUACAUGCUAGAUAAGUUGGAACUAUCAUGGCCAUGUCCCAGGAGCUCAGAGAGCAUGAUAUACUGAUUCUGGGAACUAGGUGUUUUAGGAAUCAUGCUAAUCAAAUGUAACAACAUACCUGGCUUCCAGAAAGGCAGCUAAAUGUCAGGUUAAGAGCUUGGGCUCUGAAAUCAUAAUGGCUCUGCUCUGUAUCCUCCAACAAAUUUCUUAAGCUCUCCAAGCCCAAGUCUCCCCAUCUGUAAAUGACUAAUAGUAAGGUGGUUUUGGAAAUGCUAAUCUGUUUUACUUAUUAAGUACCAGUGUCAGAGCACAUUAGCAGUCCUGCUAACAGAUACAAGAUACCAGUAACAUGAAGUUCUUGACAUCUGAGACCAACUUCUCUUCUGAGAGGGAAAAUUCUCUGUAUGGUUUCUGCAAAGGCUGGAGCAGAUCAAGUCUGGGUGCAAGUGCAG